Molecule: ribosomal RNA, 496 nt
Filed under: uncultured bacterium
Lineage: Bacteria
Description: partial 16S ribosomal RNA
Rfam family: Bacterial small subunit ribosomal RNA
Source: RNAcentral
GAUGAACGCUGGCGGCGUGCCUAAUACAUGCAAGUCGAGCGAACAGAUGAGGAGCUUGCUCCUCUGACGUUAGCGGCGGACGGGUGAGUAACACGUGGAUAACCUACCUAUAAGACUGGGAUAACUUCGGGAAACCGGAGCUAAUACCGGAUAAUAUAUUGAACCGCAUGGUUCAAUAGUGAAAGACGGUUUUGCUGUCACUUAUAGAUGGAUCCGCGCCGCAUUAGCUAGUUGGUAAGGUAACGGCUUACCAAGGCAACGAUGCGUAGCCGACCUGAGAGGGUGAUCGGCCACACUGGAACUGAGACACGGUCCAGACUCCUACGGGAGGCAGCAGUAGGGAAUCUGCCGCAAUGGGCGAAAGCUUGACGGAGCAACGCCGCGUGAGUGAUGAAGGUCUUCGGAUCGUAAAACUCUGUUAUUAGGGAAGAACAAAUGUGUAAGUAACUAUGCACGUCUUGACGGUACCUAAGCAGAAAGCCACGGCUAACUACGU